Molecule: RNA transcript, 1876 nt
Organism: Mercurialis annua (annual mercury)
Lineage: Eukaryota; Viridiplantae; Streptophyta; Magnoliopsida; Malpighiales; Euphorbiaceae
Gene name: nifU-like protein 1, chloroplastic
Exons: 5
Source: RefSeq, a predicted model, not a curated record
ACUUUCCAAAAUCAUCAAUACAGCCCUCUCUCUAAAACUAGUCAAUUUCUCAAAAUCCAGAAAAUCCACAACCCAUACAAUCAACAAAUUCUAAAUUUCUAAUAACCAUGGCGUCGCUAGCAUCCACGACGCUAUCCAAGAUUCCACAGUACUUCCCCAAAAUUCCGGCAAGCACUCAUCAGCAGUAUCCAACAUCCGUAACCCUGAAAGUCUCCGGCACAAGGGUAGUAUUGUCCAAAACAGCAAUAAAAGCAACGAGCCAAAACACCGCCACUGGUUCCCAGUCUCCAGGACUAUACUCAGCCCAGACGUUUGAGCUGACUCCUGAAAACGUGGAUUUGGUUCUUGAGGAUGUUCGGCCGUACUUAAUUGCCGACGGCGGGAACGUUGACGUUGUUUCCGUUGAAGACGGUGUCGUUUCCCUCCAACUCCAAGGAGCAUGUGGUAGCUGCCCUAGCUCAACAACUACUAUGAAAAUGGGGAUUGAAAGAGUACUUAAGGAAAAAUUUGGGGAUGCAGUUAAAGAUAUUCGCCAAGUUUACGAUGAAGAAGUGAAGGAGACAACUCCCGAGGCUGUGAAUCGGCAUCUUGAUAUACUGAGACCGGCCAUAAAGAACUAUGGUGGGAGUGUAGAAGUAACAUCUGUUGAAAAUGGGGAAUGUCUUGUGAAAUAUACAGGUCCGGAGUCUAUUGGUUCUGGAGUCAAAGCGGCUAUUAAGGAGAAGUUUCCGGAUAUCACGAAUGUUGUGUUUGUCGACUAGGUUGAUUCAUCUCUGGCAGCUGCGACUGAUUGUAACCAGCGUGCUAAACUGAUCAGGAACGGCGUGUAGACAAAGUAGCAAGUUAAUGUCCAAGUGACUAAUCCCUGCAUAAAACAGAAAUUGUCUAUUUAUUCAGAACACUAUUGAUUCUAAGCUAUGACUGUUUUUGUUUGGUAUCAUAAUCAAUUACCUGACCGAAGAUUUCAAUGUUCGCUUGUGGAUAAUACCAAAGGUGGAAGAACCUGAAAACGGCCAAAUGUGUCAAAUGAAUAAAUAAGCAUGUCAUGUUUGAUAGCUUUGGUGGGAGCAAACUUACUUCAUAAUGGGAAUUUCAGCCAACGGGCAAACGACGCCGAUAAUGGAUGCUAAGGUGAAGCCUAGGCGUGUCCUGUCGAGGAACAACCAUAUGAAUUCUGCCGCGGCGAACAAUAUGUAAGCCUCAAUGUUGUCUGGUAUUCCAGCUUUAUACAUCUCAGCACUCAAUUCUAUGAACAACAAAAGGGUUCUGUAUCAAAGAAUAAGGAAUCUUAGAAGAGUUCCUUUCAUCCAAGAAGAGUUGCAGCAACCCAACAGAGGAAUAGAACAAUCCAAGCAAAGGAGGAACCUAUAUCCAACAGUAAAGAUACAAAAGAACAGGUCAACUGAAUCAUCUUGAAUCGAACAGUAAGUGAAUAAAAAGCAAGAAAAAGAUUUCCAUUAUACCCAUAUGUUUGUAUGAAGAGGACCGAUGUCAAUCGAGCCAUUUUGAUAUUCUACAAGAUUAACCCUUGAAUGUAGACCAUCAAUGAGAGGACCCAAGAAGAAUCCUGAGCAGAAAAGAGAAACAGAAACAAAUGGCCAAGUGUUUCUUGGACUUUCAUUGCCCUGCUCUCUUAAACUACAAUAUGGUUUCGUUAUAAAGCGUUUUGGGUUCCGAUUAGAGGGACGGAGGUUGGGAAUGAAACGGGGAAGAUGCAGGCUUAGCAUAUUCUAUUCUUAGGAUUUCCAUUGCUGAUAGUUAUUAUUUUGUUGUAUUAAUAUUGUCAUUAUAGAAAUAAAAAUAAAUUAUUAAUUGUCAUGUAUAUCGAUCAUGUGUAAUCAUAGAAUGUAUCUGAAAAAUGUGUGGUUGGUGUUGA